This is a long non-coding RNA of Felis catus (domestic cat), 586 nucleotides long. RefSeq lists it as uncharacterized. Lineage: Eukaryota; Metazoa; Chordata; Mammalia; Carnivora; Felidae. The record is from RefSeq and is a predicted model, not a curated record. The transcript is spliced from 3 exons.
UUGGAGUGUCACAACUCAAUGUCACAGCUCCCUGGCCUGAGGCUCCAGAGAGCCUGCGCAUUGUCCUUCAACUCCCAGAACUAAAUGUCUAUGGUUGCCUAGCCUGAACCUUUUCUGGAGAUAGAAACUAAUCUGGUGAUUCCAUAUAAGGACUUUUGGGUAAUACUCACAAGAUUCCAGGCAAGUGGUUUUAUGAGACCUUGAUCGUUGCUUUCUAUUUGUUGACACUCGAUGACUCUGCUUAUUUUAGGCUUUUCUUGCAGGAUUCUUUGUGAUUCUGAAGCCUCAGAUGUGUGCCACAAACAAGGACAGGAUGUACACUGAUCCUGUCCCUCGGUUCCCUUGAUAUAGGACCCGCUAAGGACAAUAGAGGAGACCAUGCCUUCGAACGACCAAGGCAAAUGAUGUCACCUGGGAACAACUUAAGAAGCUUGAUCAAAAUGCCACUGAAGUCAUGCACCAUGUUGGAGCAUCACCAACCCCAGAAAACAGGUUUUUAGCAUAUUUAUCUGUGGUUUCUCAAAACUUGGCUAAGGUAAUGUUUUUCUUAAUGUUUCUCUUUAUCCAGACCUCUAUUGCUUUUUCA